UACGGGGGGAGCAAGCGUUGUUCGGAUUUACUGGGCGUAAAGGGCGCGUAGGCGGCCAGCACAAGUCAGUUGUGAAAUCUCCGAGCUUAACUCGGAACGGUCAACUGAUACUGUGCGGCUAGAGUGCGGAAGGGGCAACUGGAAUUCUUGGUGUAGCGGUGAAAUGCGUAGAUAUCAAGAGGAACACCUGCGGCGAAGGCGGGUUGCUGGCCCGACACUGACGCUGAGGCGCGAAAGCCAGGGGAGCGAACGGG
This 254-nucleotide ribosomal RNA is filed under the name uncultured bacterium. RNAcentral's name for it is "partial 16S ribosomal RNA". It matches the Rfam family "Bacterial small subunit ribosomal RNA", at positions 524 to 776 of the family's 1533-position model. The record is from RNAcentral.